RNAcentral lists this non-coding RNA (59 nucleotides) under Dictyostelium discoideum. RNAcentral describes it as "small non-coding RNA r30". It matches the Rfam family "Class I RNA from Dictyostelium". The record is from RNAcentral. Lineage: Eukaryota; Evosea; Eumycetozoa; Dictyosteliales; Dictyosteliaceae.
GUUGACCUUACAGCAAUUCUCACAUUUCCUUACAUUCAAAGAAAACCUUCGUCAACUGU